Molecule: ribosomal RNA, 202 nt
Filed under: Clostridioides difficile
Lineage: Bacteria; Bacillati; Bacillota; Clostridia; Peptostreptococcales; Peptostreptococcaceae
Description: partial 16S ribosomal RNA
Rfam family: Bacterial small subunit ribosomal RNA
Source: RNAcentral
AUCGCAGAUCAGAAUGCUGCGGUGAAUGCGGUCCCGGGUCUUGUACAGUCCGCCCGUCAGAACACGGUAGUGGGAGACGACCGAAGCCUGUUAUCUAGCUGGUUGGAAGAAUUCGUCGAAGGUGGAAGCAAUAACUGGGGUGAAGUCGUAACAAGGUAUCCGUAGCGGAAGUUGCGGCUGGAUCAACUCCUUUCUAAGGAGA